CAAAUAGUCGACUAGGGUUCCGGCCUGUCCCUCCAAGCGAGUCAAGACAGGCGACUGGUCCGAGAGUUGACGGCCUUUUCCAAGGCUACACGGCGGGACAAAAGCCCGGGAGGA
Molecule: small RNA, 114 nt
Filed under: Marinobacter salinus
Lineage: Bacteria; Pseudomonadati; Pseudomonadota; Gammaproteobacteria; Pseudomonadales; Marinobacteraceae
Description: Guanidine-I sequence
Rfam family: Guanidine-I riboswitch aptamer
About the family: This family represents a conserved RNA structure found upstream of the ykkC and yxkD genes in Bacillus subtilis and related genes in other bacteria. The function of this family is unclear although it has been suggested that it may function to switch on efflux pumps and detoxification systems in response to harmful environmental molecules.
Source: RNAcentral